RNAcentral lists this ribosomal RNA (389 nucleotides) under uncultured Alphaproteobacteria bacterium. RNAcentral describes it as "bacterial SSU rRNA". It matches the Rfam family "Bacterial small subunit ribosomal RNA", at positions 9 to 426 of the family's 1533-position model. The record is from RNAcentral. Lineage: Bacteria; Pseudomonadati; Pseudomonadota; Alphaproteobacteria.
GAGUUUGAUCCUGGCUCAGAACGAACGCUGGCGGCAUGCCUAACACAUGCAAGUCGAACGAUCCCUUCGGGAUAGUGGCGCACGGGUGCGUAACGCGUGGGAACCUGCCCUUAGGUUCGGAAUAACUCAGAGAAAUUUGAGCUAAUACCGGAUAAUGUCUUCGGACCAAAGAUUUAUCGCCUUUGGAUGGGCCCGCGUUGGAUUAGCUAGUUGGUGGGGUAAAGGCCUACCAAGGCGACGAUCCAUAGCUGGUCUUAGAGGAUGAUCAGCCACACUGGGACUGAGACACGGCCCAGACUCCUACGGGAGGCAGCAGUGGGAAUAUUGGACAAUGGGCGAAAAGCCUGAUCCAGCAAAUGCCGCGUGAGUGAUGAAGGCCCUAGGGUUGU